RNAcentral lists this long non-coding RNA (965 nucleotides) under Elaeis guineensis (African oil palm). Its description in RNAcentral is "long non-coding RNA (EGUI_LNC017912)". Lineage: Eukaryota; Viridiplantae; Streptophyta; Magnoliopsida; Arecales; Arecaceae. The record is from RNAcentral.
CUAUAAUCGACUUCAAGAAAAAAAUGAAGAAUAGAUUGUAUUGGAGAUUUGUUUUGCUUUCAAAAGAAAAAUAGUGGUUGAUCAUCCAAAAAAUAUAUAUCAUGUAUCAUACAAUAUUUACAACUCUUAUUGUAGCUUGCCUUCUCUGUUCAUAUUCCACAAAAGCCACAGAACCCCUCAUCCACAGCAUAAACCAUCAUAUUUAUAUUUAUCAACAUAUCAUAGUACAUGCAUCUCUAGAAACCAUAGUGCCACACCAUUCUUACUAAAACCAUUAGGUAUACAACACUAGAUACCCACUUCAUCAAGGAUGGGGUGGACCAUGUGGUGCAGGUGGACCGGGUGGGGGCGGUGCAUGGGGAGCAGGAUGCCCCCCACGUCCAGGAGGAGGAGGAGCAGGAGCAUGUGGACCUACUGGGCCUCCAUGAGGAGCACCAGGACCAUGUGGCUCAUGGCCUUGUGGCUUGUGAGGCUGGGGAGGAUCCAUCUUCCAACUUCUUCCUCUUGUCCUCCUGCCUUAACAUAGAGAAGGCUGAAGAAUAAGUAGACAGCAGAAGAGAAUGUUAGAGUUGACUGGGCUUGUGAGAAUGUUAGAGUUGAUGAGUUUGUUUGAUAUCUGUAGGUCAUACCUGCAAUUCUUGGGGGCGAGAUUCUUAUUGCGCCGCGCGCGGUGAUUGGCAAGCCCGGAGGCCCCUCACCCUACCCCACCCGGCUUGUUUGUUCGAUAUCUGUAGGUCAUACCUGCAAACCUGCAAUUCUUGGGGGCGAGAUUCUUAUUGCGCCGCGCGCGGUGAUUGGCGCGCCCGGAGCCCCUCAACCCACCCCACCCGGCUUGUGAGUUUGUUCGAUAUCUGUAGGUCAUACCUGCAAUUUUUGGGGACGAGAUUAUUAUUGCACUGCUGCACCGUACACGAUCAUUGGCGUACACGAAGCCGCCGCCGCCGCCUCCUCCUCCUCCUCCUCCU